UUCUGUAGGGUGAACCUGCGGAGGGAUAAGAACCAAGCAGACA
Molecule: ribosomal RNA, 43 nt
Filed under: Fusarium sp. SS-2012c
Lineage: Eukaryota; Fungi; Ascomycota; Sordariomycetes; Hypocreales; Nectriaceae
Description: partial 18S ribosomal RNA
Source: RNAcentral